This 464-nucleotide ribosomal RNA is filed under the name Vreelandella stevensii. RNAcentral describes it as "partial 16S ribosomal RNA". It matches the Rfam family "Bacterial small subunit ribosomal RNA", at positions 338 to 795 of the family's 1533-position model. Lineage: Bacteria; Pseudomonadati; Pseudomonadota; Gammaproteobacteria; Oceanospirillales; Halomonadaceae. The record is from RNAcentral.
CCUACGGGGUGCUGCAGUGGGGAAUAUUGGACAAUGGGCGAAAGCCUGAUCCAGCCAUGCCGCGUGUGUGAAGAAGGCCUUCGGGUUGUAAAGCACUUUCAGUGGGGAAGAAAGCCUUGGGGCUAAUACCCUCGAGGAAGGACAUCACCCACAGAAGAAGCACCGGCUAACUCCGUGCCAGCAGCCGCGGUAAUACGGAGGGUGCGAGCGUUAAUCGGAAUUACUGGGCGUAAAGCGCGCGUAGGCGGUCUGAUAAGCCGGUUGUGAAAGCCCCGGGCUCAACCUGGGAACGGCAUCCGGAACUGUCAGGCUAGAGUGCAGGAGAGGAAGGUAGAAUUCCCGGUGUAGCGGUGAAAUGCGUAGAGAUCGGGAGGAAUACCAGUGGCGAAGGCGGCCUUCUGGACUGACACUGACGCUGAGGUGCGAAAGCGUGGGUAGCAAACAGGAUUAGAUACCCUGUAGUC